RNAcentral lists this ribosomal RNA (253 nucleotides) under uncultured bacterium. RNAcentral's name for it is "partial 16S ribosomal RNA". It matches the Rfam family "Bacterial small subunit ribosomal RNA", at positions 524 to 776 of the family's 1533-position model. The record is from RNAcentral.
UACGUAGGGGGCAAGCGUUGUCCGGAUUUAUUGGGCGUAAAGAGCGUGUAGGCGGCCAGGUAGGUCAGCUGUGAAAACUCGAGGCUCAACCUCGAGACGCCGGUUGAAACCAUCUGGCUAGAGUCCGGAAGAGGAGAGUGGAAUUCCUGGUGUAGCGGUGAAAUGCGCAGAUAUCAGGAGGAACACCGAUGGCGAAGGCAGGUCUCUGGGCAUUAACUGACGCUGAGGAGCGAAAGCAUGGGGAGCGAACAGG